Molecule: transfer RNA, 72 nt
Filed under: Hymenobacter sp.
Lineage: Bacteria; Pseudomonadati; Bacteroidota; Cytophagia; Cytophagales; Hymenobacteraceae
Also listed under: 1 other name
Description: tRNA-Asp
Rfam family: tRNA
About the family: Transfer RNA (tRNA) molecules are approximately 80 nucleotides in length. Their secondary structure includes four short double-helical elements and three loops (D, anti-codon, and T loops).
Source: RNAcentral
GUGAACAUAGUUUAAUGGUAGAACACCACUACGUCAUAGUGGCAGGUACCGGUUCGAGUCCGGCUGUUCUCG